GCCGACAUAGCUCAAUCGGCAGAGCAGCCGCCUUGUAAGCGGCAGGUUAUGGGUUCGAUUCCCAUUGUCGGCU
Molecule: transfer RNA, 73 nt
Filed under: Anaerolineaceae bacterium
Lineage: Bacteria; Bacillati; Chloroflexota; Anaerolineae; Anaerolineales; Anaerolineaceae
Also listed under: 1 other name
Description: tRNA-Thr
Rfam family: tRNA
About the family: Transfer RNA (tRNA) molecules are approximately 80 nucleotides in length. Their secondary structure includes four short double-helical elements and three loops (D, anti-codon, and T loops). Further hydrogen bonds mediate the characteristic L-shaped molecular structure. tRNAs have two regions of fundamental functional importance: the anti-codon, which is responsible for specific mRNA codon recognition, and the 3' end, to which the tRNAs corresponding amino acid is attached (by aminoacyl-tRNA synthetases). tRNAs cope with the degeneracy of the genetic code in two manners: having more than one tRNA (with a specific anti-codon) for a particular amino acid; and 'wobble' base-pairing, i.e. permitting non-standard base-pairing at the 3rd anti-codon position.
Source: RNAcentral